CGUGGCCUCACACACUCUUUUCACUGUGGGUCCCGAGUGGGACAGUCUUCAGUCAGGAUGGGGCCUGGCUUCUGACCCAACAAGAGUCCCUCACUGGGGUUAACUUUCCUUCUAAACCAGCCCACAAGUUCAAGGACUCGUGGGAAACGGAAGUGAGAGAGGAGAGAACCCAUUAAUUUCCAAAGGCUUACCAUGUGCUAGGCCUGGUACUGGAUAGUUUGCUUAAAUCUUUGUGAAUCUGCCCACCGGUCUUCAACUGAGUCUUAACUGUUGCCGUUUCAUAGGUGAGAAAACCAAGGCUCAGAGAGGAUGGGGUUAGAAUAACAGGCCAAGAAGUCAGGGUGAGAGAAAUAGAAGGGAAGGAGUAUCAGCAACCUGGGAGAAUCUCUCCCAGGCAUCAAGAGUCGAAGGUUGCUCUUUUUUUUUUUUAAUGUUUAUUUUUGAAAGGGAGAGAGAGUGCGAGAGAGCGUGCGUGUGUGUGCACAAGAGCAGGGGAGGGGCAGAGAGAGGGGGACAGAGCAUCUGUGCUGUCAGCACAGAGCCUGAUGUGGGGCUCAGACUCACAGACCUCGAGAUCAUGACCUGAGCUGAAGUUGGACGCUCGACCGACAGAGCCACUCAGACGUGCUGAAGGUUGUUGUUUAAAACCUAGGUACUUGAAUGAAUUCUUUGCUUCGCUCUCUGGCCAUUCCUGUGUCAUCUUCCUUUACACAGCUGACAUCAUACUAUGUAAUGUUGUAUCUGGUUAUUUUGGCUUCAUGUACAUUGUAAACAUUUCCCCAGGUUUUAAAAGUUUGUGUAGACAUAGUGUUUUAUAGCCAUAUAAUAUUUUAUAUGUACCUUGAGUCACACGACCAUUGCACGUGUAUAUUGUUUCCGUUUUUUGCUCUUACAAAAAUACUGUACGUUGACUGGUUAAAGAAAUUAUAGUAUAUUCAGUCAGUGGGAUGUUAUGCAGCCAUUAAAAAUGGUGUUGUAGGGGCACCUGGGUGGCUCAGUCGGUUAAGCGUCUGAGCUCAGCUCAGAUCAUGAUCUCACAGUUUGUGAGUUCGAGCCCCACAUUAGGUUCUGUGCUGACAGCUCAGAGCCUGGAGCCUGCUUCAGAUUCCGAGUCUCCCUCUCUCUGCCCCUCCCCUACUCAUGCUCUGUCUCUACCUCUCAGAAAUGAAUAAACAUUAAAAAAAUUUUUUUUUAAAUGGUGUUGUAAAUCUUUAUCAGUUGACAUGAAGAUAGGUUCAUAAUAUCUUACUAAGAAAAAGCAGUUUACAGGGGCGCCUGGGUGGCUCAGUUGGCUGAGUGUCCGACUUCGGCUCAGGUCAUGAUCUCAUGGUCCGUGAGUUCAAGUCCUGUGUCGGGCUCUGUGCUGACAGCUCAGAGCCUGGAGCCUGCUUCGGAUUCUGUGUCUCCCUCUCUGACCCUCCCCCAGUCAUGCUCUGUCUCUCUCUGUCUCAAAACUAAAUAAACAUUUAAAAAAAUUUUUUAAUAAAUUAAAAAAAAAGAAAAAAGAAAAAGGAGUUUACAAAACAGUAUGUAUUGUAAGAUCACAUUUUUUAAGAUUUUGUUUUUAAGUAAUCUCUAUAUCCAACGUGAGGCUCGAACUUACAACCCUGAGAUCAAGAGUCACCUACUAUCCCAACUAAGCCAGCCAGGCACCCCUAAUAUACAUUUUUUUGGCAUACAUCUAUGUAUAUGAAAGAUUAUUCACCGAAAUGUUAAUAGAAGUUAUUUCUGGUGGUGGGAUUGUGGGAUUCUUUGUAUUUUUAUUAGCAUUUUACAGUGAAAACAUAUUGCUUUUUUUAAAUCUUUCCUUAAAAAUGUUUUUAAUUGAUUAUUUUGAGAGAGAGAGAAAGAGAGAGAGAGA
Long non-coding RNA from Neofelis nebulosa (Clouded leopard), 1861 nucleotides. RefSeq lists it as uncharacterized. The record is from RefSeq and is a predicted model, not a curated record. NCBI's taxonomy places the organism in Eukaryota, Metazoa, Chordata, Mammalia, Carnivora, Felidae. The transcript has 2 exons.